Xiphophorus hellerii (green swordtail) is the source of this 7640-nucleotide long non-coding RNA. RefSeq lists it as uncharacterized. NCBI's taxonomy places the organism in Eukaryota, Metazoa, Chordata, Actinopteri, Cyprinodontiformes, Poeciliidae. The transcript is spliced from 3 exons. The record is from RefSeq and is a predicted model, not a curated record.
GCUUGUACCUAUUUGCUUAGUUAAAUCCAGGUGGCGACUUUUUUUUGGCCAGGCAGUGUAUAUAUGAAUAUUCAGCUUAACAUAGACAAUGAAACACAGUGCUUUUUAAUAACAAAACAAAAUAUUCAUAAGAAAGAGAAUAGAGUCAUAUUUUAAUGGAAGGGGUGGUUCCUUGAUCUAAAGGCCCUAGCAACUGGUCCCCCACACGCAACAAGCACAUUUUCUGAUGUUAUUCUACCCAGUUGCACAUUCCUUAGGAUUGGAGUGUGCUGUUCAUAAUUACUCUAAUUUCUUUAUGCUGAAACUUUCUCUAUAUUGUACAGUAUGUUACCCUUAGUAAUUUUUAUUAUGUUUCAUCUUUGCGUAAACCUAUGUGCUUCAGUUGUUUGUCAUUUUGUAGUUGUUGCACCUGAGUUUACCCCAUUGUGAGAUAUUAAACAAAAAUAUUGCUGUUAUAUAUAUUUAUUCUUCUAGAAUAAACAAAGCUGAAGUUGGUUUCCGAUUGCAGCUUCUGGGAAAUGGCCAAAAGGCGAUUCCACCAAAUUUUUCAUCAACUAAAGCAUUUCUUAUCUACUUUAGUUAAAAAACUGCAACUCUUCAAACUUCACCUAGAUUAUUCUGCUCUAAUAGCAGAAUAUUUAAAACCAAGUUUGUGAUUUGUGAAACAUUCAUCUGAUUUGUGAAACUUCAAUUGAUGUCACCACUUUUUACACAUUUGGACCACACCAGAAUAACUCUAAUACCAAAACUACUCUUUAAACACCAAGGCUCUUUAAAUCUUAGGGUUCGUACCGGUCAUGGAAAACCUGGAAAGUCAUGUAAUUUCAUUUCAGGUCAUGGAAAGUCAUGGAAUUUGCAAGUAAGGGCAAAAAAUGCUGUUUUUUCCGUGGUGCGUGUGUUUCUGUGGUUCUUGUCUCGGACUUGUAGAUUUGUGAUCUAUAUCAAACCCUCUCUGGCCAAGGCAGCAGAAAAUGUCCAUUGAUCCCGAAAUCAGACAGGCAAGUUGUAGAGCUCUGAAUCUUUUCUUUAUGCAGUUCUUCAAACAUUUGAAGAACUGUUCACAGCAAGACAUGCAUUCAAACAAAAGGAGGGAGAGUUUCCCCCUGAUCUAAACCACCCAUCUUUUAAAGCAAUAACUCCUACCAGGUCUAAUUUGAGAACACCAAGUCCUUGUGUUUUCAAUCAGGACACAAGGACCAUGGAAGCGCACUCAUUGGUGGAGACCACAUUUAUUUUUCCAGAUAGGAAAUACACAUUUGUAGUAAACUAUCAUCCUAGAAAAAUAUUUACAUAACUUCAACUACGCCAACAACUUCAAAACUAAAACCAAAACAAUUUGGGCCCAAACAAAAUCCAAAAAACAUCUCUUCUCCCUCUCAAACAAUGGAUUUUUCCAGUGAGGCUGAUUGAAAACACCAGGUCCUUGUCAGCACUGCUCCUGGGCGCACUUUCAUGGCAACACAUGACCAGGUGACCUCAAAGAGAAGAGAGAAUGGUUAAAACCAAAUAUUAAAAGCCAGUUACUUCCUCCAAACAAAAACAAUACAUUUACCAGAUAAAUUAGAAUAUAGAAAGUACAAAAAACAGCACCUGGGAAGCGAUAAAUCCCUCACACUUCCCUCCCUUUCAGGAGACUUGCUGUGGUCUUCUUUGCUGUGUCACAGCGAGACUAGAAGUCUGUGACUGCGUUUUCUUUUCCUGGAAUGUAGCCUAUCUUGAAUCGAUAAGGUUGAAGAGACAGGAACCAUCGUGUUAUGCGACUGCUUGUGUCUUUCAUGGCCUCCAACCAUUUCAGUGCCCGAUGGUCAGUCUCAAGGGUCAACUCUUGCCCCAGAAGAUAAUAUCUGAGAGAAUCAAUCAUCCAUUUGAUAGCCAGACACUUCAGUUCCACCGCCGAAUAUCUGGUCUCUCGCUGAAACAACCUUCUACUAAUGUUGGCGACUGGUAUCUUGUCCGCUUCUUCUCCCUGCAAAAGAACCCCACCAAUUCCCCUGGCAGAUGCAUCAGUCUGAACAGUGAAAGGUAAAGUGAAGUUUGGGCUCUGAAGUACAGGUUCUUGAGACAAUGCCUCCUUUAAAUCCUGGAAUGCCUUCUCUUGUGCUUCUCCCUACACAAUUUUUGUUUUUGAUGUCCCAGUGAGGUCAGGAAGAGCUGCUUUAUCAGCUGUUCUAGCAGAAAAGUUCCUGAUGAAUCAUCGAUACCAAAAUACCAGGCCCAAAACGGACCUGACUUGUCUCCUGGUUGUUGGUCUCUCCACACAUUAAACUACCUGGUGGAAACAGUAUUCACAUCGAACUGGUUUUCAUGUGACACCGGGCUGAUAAGGUUGAGAAUAAGGGUUAUAUGAGUUCAUAUUGUUUCAAAGUUGACAUCAACAUGAUAAAAGUCAACAUAAAGUUGUCACGUGAUAGACACGUAAGCGAAAAUGCUUAACAGCAACAGGCUUUAUAUAUUCAUGAAAAUAUUGACAUGGUGAAUUAUGCAGAAUUAUAAGAACAAAAAAAAGACAUCAUCCCAGACUUCUUUAUCAGCAGCGGAGCAGAGAGGUGAUCCGAUAAAUUGAGUCUGACUUUUUUUUUCGAACAGCAAAGAAAGGAUGAUCGGGUACGUGCUCAUUUUCGAUUGCUGCACAAAUUAUUACACCAAUCACAAUUGUGCUUUCGGAACAUAAUAAACAAAGCUUAUCGAAUGGAUCCCUGAUCCCUAAAAGCCAGCGCAGCCUCCUGCUGCUCCUCUGUCCGCAGUAGGAGGCUGCGCUGGCUCCGGGCAGUGGUUCACUGUCUUUGCUGGAUGAACCAACAUGUGACUGCCAUUCUCUGUCACGCACUGAGAGGUGAGUUAAGGCUUCCCAGAUGGAGAAGAAACACGAGCUAAGGACCCAAAUAGUUCAUCAAACUUGCUAACUCUCAUUAGGAUUGUGUGAAAUAAAGGAAUUUGUCACGAGAGAAUUUUAGGUAAUCAGUACGCUCGAGUAUGACGACCCAACCGUCUGCAGACAUUAAGCGCGGAGUCCGCACGGUUCAUGGAAAUGCGCACAGUACGCCUGAGUAUGAAGGUGUCAGAGUUCCGGUGUGAGAGCGUGUGCAUGAGAGUGUGAGUGCGAGUGUUGCAUCUUCUUUCAGCGAGGAUCUUCGUGAGGAGUCUGUGGAGCCAGUGCAGGUGAAGCUGAUCUGCCUCAUCAGCGUGCUGGAAUAUAGGAGCGGCAGAACCCUUCAGCCUUCGCUAGAUGGUUAACGCAUACCGGUAGUCACUCUGGUCUCACCUGUUGAUCUUGUUUCCAGAACUUUGUUGUGCAACUCGUAGCGACUAGCUCUCUGUGUCCUGUUCGUUUGUUUAAUGAAUUUUUUGUCUUCGCUUUUCAAGAACUUGCCGAGAAUACCUGCCUGCCUGCUCCGCCGUUUCCACCGACCCCAUCUCGCUCCUACCACCCGCGAUUCCGCCUCGCGCCGGACCCUGGCACCUCACCCCCCCACGCUCUGAAAGAUCCACGCCAAAUGCCACCUGGUCGGGCGACCCUCGCCCUCCUGCCGAAGUCCAGAGAACUGAAUAUAAUUUGUCCCGUUGUAAAUAAAUCACUUACCUUUUCCAUCCAGCGUGUGGUUUCUGCAUGUGGGUCCGCAAACUAAAUCAAACCAUGACAGAAGGGGCCUUAACACACAGUAAUGAGUAAUUACAAAAAGAUGACCCACAGCAAAGUCUAGUCUGUCCUCCCAGUUACCUCAACAACUAUCAAAAGCCUCCAGUCACUACAGCGUUUCCACAUACUCCCAAUUGGUCAAGCCAUGUAACAGCAUCUAGCUUUUACAAUGCCAGACCUUCAUGCCAGGAGUCCAGAGACUCUAAUGUAAGUGAUUUUAUUAGGUAUUUUGCUAGUCGUGAAAUAGUAGCAACAGGGCUGCUCCAGUUCAAUGACAAGCCCCAAAACUUCAGAGCUUAAAAUGCUCCUUUGAAAAUGCAUUAAGGGGUUUGGAUCCAACAGUAAGUGAGGAGAUGGACUUGAUGUGUGACUUGGCAAAGAAUCUGCUAAGCAGGCAGAGCAAAUCAGGGUUAUACACAUUAAUAACCCAGUCAAUGGCCUCAACAUGAUGUGGAACAGACUUGAACAAUGUUACGGCUCAGCUGAAGUGAUCAAAUAUGCACUUUUCAAAGGAAUCAAUGCAUUUCCAAAAAUCACAUCGAAAGAUUACACAAAACUGAGAAAGUUUAGUGAACUGCUCAUGGAAAUGCAGCGUGCUAAAGAGGAAGGAGACCUCCCUGGUCUUGCAUUUCUGGAUACAGCAAGAGGGAGUUUCCUAUUGUCCAGAAACUCCCCUUCCACUUGCAAGAAAAAUUGAUUACAGUAGGAAUUAACUACAAACGUGAACACAAAUGCACAUUGUGAACCCAAAGUGUUCACAAAGGAACACUUUGUGACUUUCAUGGACACCACGUUAAAUGGUGGUCCUUCCCACCAUGGACUUGGAUGUUAGACAAAUGUAACUACUCUCAAAACUAUAACCUCAACCAGGGAACUUGGUUCUGAUAGGUUCAGCAAGUUUUCCACCUGGAGGUCUCUCACGUGCUCUUUCUAGACUAUUGCAUUUCAACUUCAAAUCCCCACCAAGCAUUAACAAUCUCUGCUGUGGUUGGCAUUACUGUGAGACAGGAUUCACUGUGGACGAUUUUGAACAAGCUCAAAACAUUGUGAUUCGAGCAGUACAACAGGAUGUGUAUUCUGAAGAAAUCAGGUGUGAACAAAAACAUGAGAAGUUAGCCAAAACCAGUUCUCUCAAGAACAUAGACCCUUAUCUGGAUGAGAAUGAACUCCUCAGAGUAGGUCACAUCACUGACUCAAACUUGACUCAUGGUGAAAAGAACCCACUUCUAGUUUCAGGCCACCACCAUGUUGCAGUUCUCCUCAUAAAGCACCACCACAAUCAGGUUCAUCAUCAAGGUCGCUUGUUUACAGAAGGAGCAAUAGGCUCUGCAGGAUGGUGGAUCGUGGAUGGCAAAAGAAAGGUGAGCACAAUCAUCUACAAUUGUGUAACCUGCAAAAGACUUCAUACUCCAAUGAGCACACAACAUGUCAAACCUUUUUCCAGACCGUCUUGCAAUGGACCCUCCAUUCACCAAUGUAGGCUUAGAUGCGUUUGGCCCAUGGUUUGUGUACCAGAGGAAGUGUGAACCAAAACAAAAGGUGGGCUGUCAUUUUCACAUGCCUGAGUAUUAGAGCAGUUCACAUCCAGGUGAUAGACUCACUUGACACAUCCAGCUUUAUUAACGCAUUUAGACGGUUUCUGGCUAUAAGAGGACCUGUAAAACCUAUUUGUUCUGAUCUGGGUACCGAUUUUGUCAGUGCAUGUAAGAAACUGAAGAUCCCCUCGAACUUGGACAAGGCAGUUCUACAAACCUACUUAAAAGAAAAUGGAUGUACUUGGACUUAUAACCAGCCACAUGCUUCUCAUUUUGGUGGAUAGAGGGAAAAAAUGAUAGGCCUGUCCCGGAAAAUAUUGGACUCUAUGUUUUUCAAACUCAAGACCACAAAGCUCACUGAUGAAGUUCUUGUCACCUUCAUGGCAGAGGUGGCAGCUAUUAUAAAUGCUAGACCUCUUGUCCCAGUUUCUUCAGACUCAAGAGAUGCUUUCAUCUUGACCCUACCUAUUCUUCUAACCCAGAAGAUUGUCCCUCUUAAGGCUCCAACUGGUAACUUCACUGCAUCAGACAUUUACAGACACCAGUGGCGUCAGGUUCAGCACCUGUCAAACAUCUUCUGGGACAAGUGGAAGAAAAAGUUCCUUUCUACUCUCCAGUUACGUCGCAAGUGGCAAUCGAGCCAUCCAAAUUGUGAGUAUAGGAAAUGUCGUCGUACUCAAAGACAGUCAAGUACCAAGAAAUGAAUGGCCUCUUGGACUCAUAACUCAGGUGUUUCCAAGUAAAGAUGAUAAAGUACAUAAAGUAGAAGUUAAGGUAGCCAAAGCAGAUGGCUCAAAGUUGUUUGUAAGACCUAUCUCAGAGAUAGUAGUUUUGGUUCCUUCAUAAGAUAAAUUGUUUCUGCUGAACACUUAAUUUGCGGCGUUUAUUCACGCCAGAUGGGGAGUGUUCUGUUACGAAGUUGUACGUAUUAUGUUUUCAGUAAUUAAGUUCAUUUAUGUAGGUCAAAAAGGGGGAAAGCCUGCCCUCAUCUGUUCUUUUCAGGAAUUACAAUCUAGCAAUCUUUUGUUGUUUUGAAAUUAACUUUAUUGAACAGCGGUAGCAUUCAAGGAAAUUACUUAAUGUUGUGUUGUUGGUAGCUUAGAUCUACACAUGUAGACGUUUGGCAGAAACUCAAUGAGGUCCAGUCGAGUGAAUCUGCAGACAUCUUUCGUUUAUGGUCACAUUGCUGAUAUGUUUUGUGAAAAUAAUCAUGUAGGAUUGUUUCUGUGCUAGAUGUAGCUUCCUAAUGGGCUAUUUCACUGUGAAUAUGUUUUCUUUCUUGUGUAAUUUAGGGUAAUUGGGAAAUUACUUAAUGUGGUGUUGGUAGCCUAGAUCUACACAUAUAGAUGUUCUGCAGAAACUCAGUGUAAACGUGUAAUUUAUUCUGCUCAUACUCAUAUAUUUACUGUAUCUUUUGUCUUGUUUUCAGUUUCACCCUUUUGAUUGUCAAUAAACCUCCUGACAACGGUCUUCGGUCUUCAGAGUUUUGAUAUGAGAAAGGUGUUAGCUAGCCUUUGGAUCAGUAACGGCACACUAACAGUAGGCUGAAUAAAUGACAAUGAAUGAAUGAAUGGGGAUGAGAUUUGUAUUUGUCUGUGUGAGAAUAGUCACGGAAGAGGCAUAAUUUGGAGAUCAGAUCGCGCAUGCGUUGAUACUGCAGUGAAGUUAGUUUCAAGUUGUAUAUUGGAUAUUCGCACUCCGCAAAGUAAGCGGCGUUUAGCUCAAGGUUGAUCUGAUUUAUGAACGAAAGAAAAAUUGUAUGUGUGUGUGAUAUUUUAAUAGUGUAUAUGCGCAAUCUUAGUCUUUUGUGUGCGUGUGAGAAAGAAAAAUUGUAUGCCUGUGUGACAAUUUAAUAGUGUAUAUGCGCAAUUUUGUGUGUGUAUGAGUCUUUAGUAGUGUGUGAGACAAAACAGUUUUUGUCCUAAACUGCCCCUCAUAAUAAACAGUGCAAAACAUAUAUAAACUAACUUACAUUGGUUUCAAAAAUAGUUAUUUUAACAUUUUUAUUGUGAUUUCUAUGAUUGCUAUAACAGUCAUUGAACUUCGUGUUAUAAUGGUAUGGAGGCUGUUUGUUGCGACUUAAUAUAAUUUUCUUCAUAAACUGGUUUUAAUUAAGCUCAGUUUGCUAACAAGACUUUGAUAUUGUGAGGCUGCUGUUAUAAAUCGUUCAUCAUUGUUUUUAUCUUCAACAUAUUUUUGCAGUCUAAGCAAAUGAAGAUGAAAGAUUGAGCUAGGGAUCAGGUAUUAGAAAAACUAAAGACUUUCCUGUCUUAGAAGAGGCUCUGGCUCCACCAGAUCACCAACCAGUUCUGAGGAUGAACCUCCACAUCGUCUUCAUGGUGGAAGGCUUUUUAUUUUUUACUGAGCAGCUGGCUACAUUUUUAACAACAGCUAAAACUGCUUUCAGAGUCUGAGAUGGACUGGUGACCUGUCCAGGGUGAACCCCGCCUCUUGUCUGAUGACUGCUG